ACACGCGCACGCGCACUUUGCCCGGUGGCCGCAGUUCUCGCACCAAACUACAUUCGAAAACACCUGAAUUUAGAAACACGGAAGCUUGUUUGCUGCUUUCUCGACAUUAACAGACUUCUCGCAGAGCAAAGCGAGAUGGCGACGGUCUGCUGGACCAUUCGGCGAACAUUCGGAGAACCACUGAGCACCGGAAGUCACCGAUAAUGGAGGUUUGUUCUGGCCGGAGGGGUUAAAAGUGCACUUUGCAGGCGAAGACAACAGCUGAGACCGUGUGAACUUCACGACAGACGCGAAGUGUCCUUGAGCUUCGUUUGGACCCCGACAGACGAACCAGAACCACACGCACUGAUCCCGGGUCCACUCACCACUCCCACAGAUCCCCCCGCGGCUCCGCGCGAGAAACAGCAAAACCCACACGGACAGAUUCAUGCUCUCAUUACACACGCGACCCGGGUUGACUCGGCUCGGCUCGGCUCGGUUCUGGUCUCCCUCCCCGUUCCCCGGGGGAAGAGGUGGUUAGUCGGCGGUCGUUUGGAGGAUGAGACGCUGAAUUCAUGGAAGAGAAAAAACUUUCUUCUUCGGCAAAAGGAGGAAAGUGCAGAAAGUUGGUGACGUCAAGCAGCGUGCGUGAGGUCUCACACCGGAAGGGAUGCCUUCAAAAUAAAUCCGACUUCUGCACUUUCUAUUUCAUUUGUUUCAUUCUUGCAUCAUAUUUUAAUUGUAAUACUGGUGGUGGAUUUGGAUUUACACCACAUGUUUAAUUCAAAACAAACGCCUUAAAUAAUAUGUCUACCUAUUUAAACAUAUUAAGGUGUUUACAUUAGUAGUAUUUUUUAAUAUUUCACAUCAUCAUUUUUAACCACAAAGCUCAAUGUGAAGGAAACAUUAAUGACGUCACCGGAAGUGCGUGGUACAUUCAGUCCACAUUGACGUUGUUUGUUGAUUUCUCCCUCGGGAAAAUGUUCGUGCGUGCGUCACUGCGCAUGACCAGUACCUGGUGGUGUGACGUCACAGAUUGGGUACAGCGUGUAGAUACACACUUAUUACACGUAUAAAUAAUCAGACAUCAGAAGAUGUUUAGCUAUUUGGAUUCAUUAACACGUUUUUAUUUCAAUUAAUCAAGUAUGAAGUAACGUUUUUAUUGAUUUCAUAGCAUUUAUUAAUUAAAUAAACAAUGAAAUUCUAUUAUACAAACUCACAUCUUCUAUUUCAGCGACAUAUCCAGGAUUAAUUCCAUCGUGUAUUCAUCUCACAUGAGAUAAUUCAGUAAAUGAUUACUUUAUUGUUUUCAUAAUCUGUAACUGAUCUGCUUGUCAUGUUGAGCAUUGCCGAAUAAAAUAAAACAUCUUCUGCUUCAUAACAGGAGACAUAUGCAUUUAAACAGAUUCACAA
This is a long non-coding RNA of Gasterosteus aculeatus aculeatus (three-spined stickleback), 1392 nucleotides long. RefSeq lists it as uncharacterized. Lineage: Eukaryota; Metazoa; Chordata; Actinopteri; Perciformes; Gasterosteidae. The record is from RefSeq and is a predicted model, not a curated record.